GAUCCUGGCUCAGGAUGAACGCUAGCUACAGGCUUAACACAUGCAAGUCGAGGGGUAGCAGGGUAGCAAUACCGCUGACGACCGGCGCACGGGUGAGUAACACGUGUCCAACCUUCCCAUAACUCAGGGAUAGCCUUUCGAAAGAAAGAUUAAUACCUGAUAGUACUUUUUCAAGGCAUCUUGAGAAAGUUAAAGAUUUAUUGGUUAUGGAUGGGGAUGCGUUCCAUUAGAUAGUUGGUGAGGUAACGGCUCACCAAGUCUUCGAUGGAUAGGGGUUCUGAGAGGAAGGUCCCCCACAUUGGUACUGAGACACGGACCAAACUCCUACGGGAGGCAGCAGUGAGGAAUAUUGGUCAAUGGGCGAGAGCCUGAACCAGCCAAGUAGCGUGAAGGAUGAAGGUCCUAUGGAUUGUAAACUUCUUUUAUAGUAGAAUAAAGUGAUCCACGUGUGGAUUUUUGUAUGUAUACUAUGAAUAAGGAUCGGCUAACUCCGUGCCAGCCGCAGC
RNAcentral lists this ribosomal RNA (506 nucleotides) under uncultured bacterium. Its description in RNAcentral is "bacterial SSU rRNA". It matches the Rfam family "Bacterial small subunit ribosomal RNA", at positions 15 to 518 of the family's 1533-position model. The record is from RNAcentral.